CAUUACGGCGCGGAAUCAAUCAGAACUACAAAUUCUAAGACAUGGUGUUUGUUUUCCUCACUGUGAAACAAGACUGCAUUACAGGAACGUAACUUUAAAAGGUAUUAAUGAAGAUGGCGACACAACCCCUGAAGUUUCGCAAAUUCACCAAAAGGUCACCGUGGACUCCUUGAGUCUGUUUAGCUGAUUGGAGAGCUAGCGUCCGCAGCUAAAGGGUCCAUGGCGAUGACUUCUGUUUUGUUUGAUCAGCUGUUUUACUGCCGUGUUACAGACACCGUUUGGAAUCAGUUAAGCAUGCCGGCCGUCACCAUGCCGACCCCUGCCAGCACAUACGUAGGCAUCACCUGAAGGCAGAUGAUUCUGGAGGAUUCUCUGAACUUCUCCUCAAGCAGCAUCAUUACUGGAGUUUAUCGCUGCCGUGUUGCGAUGACCGGCGUGUCGACUUUAUGUGCUGCCAACUGAAAGUCCAAAGCUGUUUGCAGAUCAGCGCUGUCCCUCUACAUUGACUCUUCUGUGACGAGUAGCUCUUUAGUGUUUGCAGAUCAGCUAUGUCCCUCUACAUUGACUCUUCUGUGACGAGUAGCUCUUUAGUGUUUGCAGAUCAGCUAUGUCCCUCUACAUUGACUCUUCUGUGACGAGUAGCUCUUUAGUGUUUGCAGAUCAGCGCUGUCCCUCUACAUUGACUCUUCUGUGACGAGUAGCUCUUUAGUGUUUGCAGAUCAGCUAUGUCCCUCUACAUUGACUCUUCUGUGACGAGUAGCUCUUUAGUGUUUGCAGAUCAGCUAUGUCCCUCUACAUUGACUCUUCUGUGACGAGUAGCUCUUUAGUGUUUGCAGAUCAGCGCUGUCCCUCUACAUUGACUCUUCUGUGACGAGUAGCUCUUUAGUGUUUGCAGAUCAGCUAUGUCCCUCUACAUUGACUCUUCUGUGACGAGUAGCUCUUUAGUGUUUGCAGAUCAGCUAUGUCCCGCUACAUUGACUCUUCUGUGACGAGUAGCUCUUUAGUGUUUGCAGAUCAGCGCUGUCCCUCUACAUUGACUCUUCUGUGACGAGUAGCUUUUAGUGUUAUUAUCUCCACUAUAUCAGUGGUUGCCAAACUUUUUUCACCAGCUACCACCUCAGAAAGCUCUCCAAGUGCCACCAGAAUGACCAACAUUAAAUGCAGUAGCGUAGUGGACCUAAGUAUUCAUUAAAAACAAGCCAGAGGUUGUUUUUUUUUUUUAACAAGUAUAUAUAAUAUUUUUGACCACUCUUACAUUACAAACAAUUUCAACAAUAAUACUCCAUAUGCAGUACGGUAUUUUUCGGACCAUAGGGCACAACGGAAUAAUAGGCGCACUGCCGAUGAGUGGGUCUUUACAGGUCUAUUUUCAUACAAAAAGUAUAUU
Nerophis ophidion (straightnose pipefish) is the source of this 1387-nucleotide long non-coding RNA. RefSeq lists it as uncharacterized. The transcript has 3 exons. The record is from RefSeq and is a predicted model, not a curated record. NCBI's taxonomy places the organism in Eukaryota, Metazoa, Chordata, Actinopteri, Syngnathiformes, Syngnathidae.